Molecule: long non-coding RNA, 803 nt
Organism: Daktulosphaira vitifoliae (grape phylloxera)
Lineage: Eukaryota; Metazoa; Arthropoda; Insecta; Hemiptera; Phylloxeridae
Exons: 3
Source: RefSeq, a predicted model, not a curated record
AAUCUAAAAACUAGUCUGAAUAUUGAUGAAAUCUAUUCUUAAUAUAUAAUAUAUUUAUUAUGAUAAUAGAAUUUAUUAAAAUUAAAAUAUUUAACCAAAGAUGAUAUUAAAUAUGUUAUUUAUUUAUAUAUUAAACGGAACUUGCCCAAUACAAUAUUAGUAAAUUUAUUAGUACAUAACAAUUGAAAAAAUGUAUUUACAAUAGACUAUUUAAUAUGUUAUAUGAGACACCUUAAAUUGUAAAUUGGUCAGAAAGUUAUAAUCAGAGGAGCAAUUAAUAUAAGCAACGUUGAAUAGAAAGAGAAAGACAACAAAAAUGAAGAUUAUAUCCAGAAUUUAAAACAAUUUAAAGAGUAAAAAACACAGUAGCAAAAGGCUAUCUAGAGCUAAAAGAGUUUCUCUCUUCAAUAUUUUUUGUUAUAAUGAUGUUUAUAAUAUUAAUUUAGUUAAACUGAUGAUAAUUGUGAAUGCUGUGAAGACGGUGGUAACAUUAGAAAAUAUAGCUUACAAUUCUACUUACCAUCACCAAGUUCCUUUAUGAUCUAAGUCUUUCUUGUUAAUUGUUUAUGAUUUUUUAUGUAAUUGUUAAAUUUAUAAUAGAAAUUUUAAGUGAAUUACAUCUGAAAAUUAAAAAUAAAUGUUAUAUGUGUUAUUUACUUAAACUAAAUUUUUUUAUUUGUGUAUCAGUAAAAUCUUUGGUAGUAAUAGUUUUGCUUAAAACAUUUUGAGAAACUAAUGCAUUAAUGAUCAUAUUAACAGGUACAUAUUGUGAUAAUAUGUUUCUGUAAAAGUAAUAUAAAGAU